RNAcentral lists this ribosomal RNA (638 nucleotides) under uncultured bacterium. RNAcentral's name for it is "bacterial SSU rRNA". It matches the Rfam family "Bacterial small subunit ribosomal RNA", at positions 83 to 719 of the family's 1533-position model. The record is from RNAcentral.
UAGACUUUGAGAGUGGCGCACGGGUGCGUAACACGUAUGCAACCUGCCCUUGACUGGAGAAUAGCCUCUCGAAAGAGAGAUUAAUGUUCCAUAACAUAAUGAUAGAGCAUUCUAUUAUUAUCAAAGCUCCGGCGGUCAAGGAUGGGCAUGCGGUUGAUUAGCUAGUUGGUGGGGUAAUGGCUCACCAAGGCUACGAUCAAUAGGGGGUCUGAGAGGAUGUCCCCCCACACUGGUACUGAGACACGGACCAGACUCCUACGGGAGGCAGCAGUAGGGAAUAUUGGACAAUGGAGGCAACUCUGAUCCAGCCAUGCCGCGUGCAGGAAGACUGCCCUAUGGGUUGUAAACUGCUUUUGUACGGGAAGAAACCCAUCUACGUGUAGGUGGUUGACGGUACCGUAAGAAUAAGGAUCGGCUAACUUCGUGCCAGCAGCCGCGGUAAUACGAAGGAUCCAAGCGUUGUCCGGAUUUACUGGGUUUAAAGGGAGCGUAGGCGGUCUAAUAAGUCAGUGGUGAAAGCCUUCAGCUUAACUGAAGAAUUGCCAUUGAAACUGCUAGACUCGAGUAUGGUUGAGGUCACUGGAAUGUAACAUGUAGCGGUGAAAUGCAUAGAUAUGUUACAGAACACCAAUUGCGAA